Molecule: ribosomal RNA, 208 nt
Filed under: uncultured bacterium
Lineage: Bacteria
Description: partial 16S ribosomal RNA
Rfam family: Bacterial small subunit ribosomal RNA
Source: RNAcentral
CGCGUAGGCGGCUCAUCAAGUCGGGGGUGAAAUACUUCAGCUUAACUGGAGAAGUGCCUUCGAUACUGGUGGGCUUGAGGGAGGUAGGGGUCUUUGGAACUUCUGGUGGAGCGGUGAAAUGCGUUGAUAUCAGAAGGAACGCCGGUGGCGAAAGCGAAGGACUGGACCUCUUCUGACGCUGAGGCGCGAAAGCUAGGGGAGCAAACGG